GGUCUCGUAGUGUAGCGGUUAACACGCCUGCCUGUCACGCAGGAGAUCGCGGCUUCGAUUCCCGUCGAGACCGCCA
This 76-nucleotide transfer RNA is filed under the name Staphylococcus aureus. RNAcentral's name for it is "tRNA-Asp". It matches the Rfam family "tRNA". Rfam says of the family: Transfer RNA (tRNA) molecules are approximately 80 nucleotides in length. Their secondary structure includes four short double-helical elements and three loops (D, anti-codon, and T loops). RNAcentral also lists the same sequence under 44 other names. Lineage: Bacteria; Bacillati; Bacillota; Bacilli; Caryophanales; Staphylococcaceae. The record is from RNAcentral.